This 91-nucleotide Y RNA is filed under the name Carlito syrichta (Philippine tarsier). RNAcentral's name for it is "Y RNA (ENSTSYG00000023142.2)". It matches the Rfam family "Y RNA". Rfam says of the family: Y RNAs are components of the Ro ribonucleoprotein particle (Ro RNP), in association with Ro60 and La proteins. Lineage: Eukaryota; Metazoa; Chordata; Mammalia; Primates; Tarsiidae. The record is from Rfam by way of RNAcentral.
GGUUGGUCUGAGUUCAGUGGUGUUUACUACUAAUUUAUUACAGAUUUAUUUUUCCUUCCUCACUCUCACUGCUUCACUUGACUAGUCUAAA